RNAcentral lists this ribosomal RNA (253 nucleotides) under uncultured bacterium. Its description in RNAcentral is "partial 16S ribosomal RNA". It matches the Rfam family "Bacterial small subunit ribosomal RNA", at positions 524 to 776 of the family's 1533-position model. The record is from RNAcentral.
GACAGAGGGUGCAAACGUUGUUCGGAAUUACUGGGCGUAAAGCGUGUGUAGGCGGCCAAGCAAGUCGGAUGUGAAAGCCCAGGGCUCAACCCUGGAAGUGCACUCGAUACUGCUUGGCUUGAGUAUCGGAGAGGUUGGUGGAAUUCUCGGUGUAGAGGUGAAAUUCGUAGAUAUCGAGAGGAACACCGGCGGCGAAGGCGGCCAGCUGGACGAAUACUGACGCUGAGACACGAAAGCGUGGGGAGCAAACAGG